This 163-nucleotide unclassified non-coding RNA is filed under the name uncultured Nectriaceae. Its description in RNAcentral is "sequence contains ITS2". The record is from RNAcentral. Lineage: Eukaryota; Fungi; Ascomycota; Sordariomycetes; Hypocreales; Nectriaceae.
CAACCCUCAAGCCCCCGGGCUUGGUGUUGGGGAUCGGCCCGCCCCUAGCGGCGCGCCGUCCCUGAAAUCUAGUGGCGGUCUCGCGAUAGCCUCCUCUGCGUAGUAGCAAUAUCUCGCACCGGAACGUCGCCUGGCCACGCCGUUAAACCCCCCACUUCUGAAA